This 542-nucleotide ribosomal RNA is filed under the name uncultured Oligotrichia. RNAcentral describes it as "SSU rRNA". It matches the Rfam family "Eukaryotic small subunit ribosomal RNA", at positions 15 to 565 of the family's 1831-position model. Lineage: Eukaryota; Ciliophora; Spirotrichea. The record is from RNAcentral.
UGCCAGUAGUCAUAUGCUUGUCUCAAAGACUAAGCCAUGCAUGUCUAAGUAUAAAUGUUAUACAGUGAAACUGCGAAUGGCUCAUUAAAACAGUUAUAGUUUAUUUGAUAAUCGAAUUUACAUGGAUAACCGUGGUAAUUCUAGAACUAAUACAUGCUGGUUAGCCUGACUUCGAGGAAGGGCUGUAUUUAUUAGAUAACAAACCAAUAUUCCCCGUGUCUAUUGUGAUGACUCAUAAUAACUGAUCGAAUCGCAUGGACUUUGUCCGCGAUACAUCAUUCAAGUUUCUGCCCCAUCAGCUUUCGAUGGUAGUGUAUUGGACUACCAUGGCUUUAACGGGUAACGGAGGAUUAGGGUUCGAUUCCGGAGAGGGAGCCUGAGAAACGGCUACCACAUCUAAGGAAGGCAGCAGGCGCGUAAAUUACCCAAUCCUGACUCAGGGAGGUAGUGACAAGAAAUAACGGACCGAGGCAUCUGCUUCGGGAUUGCAAUGAGUAGAAUUUAAACCCCUUUACGAGGAUCAAUUGGAGGACAAGUCUGGU